This 1058-nucleotide long non-coding RNA is filed under the name Phaseolus vulgaris (common bean). RNAcentral describes it as "long non-coding RNA (PVUL_LNC004051)". The record is from RNAcentral. Lineage: Eukaryota; Viridiplantae; Streptophyta; Magnoliopsida; Fabales; Fabaceae.
CCGAAUUUGGUAUCAAAGCAAGUAAAAAACAAGGUCGAAAAAUGAUACCGGAAAAAAUUGACAAAUUAAACUUAGUUUCACAAUAAUAGAAGUAUUUCAAGACUCGCUUCUCUCAAACGCAAUCCAAAAAUCUCAACUAAGAGUAAAGGUGCUGCUGCUGCUAUGGAGUAAAGGUGCUAGGAAGAAAAUGAAGGGAUGUAGUGUGAGGUUAUGAGAAUUGGGAUAUUUAAAUUUUUCAGAAAGGGUAAAAAAGAUAUUUUAAGUUUAUUAUGGAGGUGUAUGAAUAACCAAUGGAGGUGGAGGGAGAAUUUCUCAAAUAAUAAUAACUAAACAUAUCUGAGUCAGUGACCCAACCGUUCUUGUUUCGGCGUUCUGGGCUCAGCCUAUUCUAUUAUUGCUAAAUCUUUCGGCUUCUGCUUCCUGCACCCCUACAUUUUUCUUUCUGCACCCCCACAAUUUUUAAAAUUCCAAAACUGACCUUAAUCUAUUAUUUAAAAAGGGGCCCUGGAUUUUCUUUGCUACUGUUCAUCUUCUUCAUUCAUCUCAGGUGCUGGUGCAUCCAGGGUCUUUGUAGUUGUGCAGAGCAAGGUAAAGAAGUAGGAUCAGGAUUGAGUAAUGUGCUUCGGAUUGAUGAAUCCAGAAUUGAGUAAUGUAUUACGGAAUCAUCAAUCUGGAAUUGAAUAAUGUGUUACGGAUUCAUCAAACCGGAAUAUUAUCGGAAAUAGAAAUCCGAAAUUUUACCAGAAACAUCAAUCCAAAAUUUCUACAGAUUCCAUAAUUUGGAAUGUGAAAAAACAUAUACAUAUUCUUUAUUCCGUAAAACUACCGGAAUGCAUUAUCUGAAAUAUUAUAAAUGAAAUGUAGAAAUGAAAAUCCAAAAAAAAAGAUAGAAGUAGAGAUCCAAAAACCAUAAAUUUUACUUACCUUCAAGUUGACAAUAUCACCCUAAAGUAUAAAGAGAUGUGGAGUUCUGGAAUGGCGUCGUACGGAAUGAGGAUCUGGGAGUUGCGGCUGCACUGGGAGGAAUAAAAUGAAAGUGAGAGUUUUAGGGUUUUUAG